AACACUCAGCACAGUGCUUGGCACACGGCAUGGAGUCUAAGACACAAAACACUCAGCACAGUGCUUGGCACACGGCAUGGAGUCUAAGACACAAAACACUCAGCACAGUGCUUGGCACACGGCAUGGAGUCUAAGAAGAAAACACUCAGCACAGUGCUUGGCACAUGGCAUAGAGUCUAAGACGCAAAACACUCAGCACAGUGCUUGGCACACGGCAUGGAGUCUAAGAAGAAAACACUCAGCACAGUGCUUGGCACACGGCAUAGAGUCUAAGACGCAAAACACUCAGCACAGUGCUUGGCACACGGCACGGCAUGGAGUCUAAGAAGAAAACACUCAGCACAGUGCUUGGCACACGGCAUAGAGUCUAAGACGCAAAACACUCAGCACAGUGCUUGGCACAUGGCAUGGAGUCUAAGAAGAAAACACUCAGCACAGUGCUUGGCACACGGCAUGGAGUCUAAGAAGAAAACACUCAGCACAGUGCUUGGCACACGGCAUAGAGUCUAAGACACAAAACACUGCACAGUGCUUGGCACACGGCGGGUGCAGGAAGGAUGUUCACUGUCACCACUGCUGUUACUCCAGAGCCUGUUUUCUUGUCUUCAAUUUCAAAUUCCUGGGAGAGAUCAUCCGAUUGGCCCAGUGUGCGUCAGGCAUCUACCACUGGACCAGUCAGCACAGGCCAGAAGCAGGAUGUAUAGCGGACACAUGGCCACCAAGGCCCCAGAAAAAGGAAAUGAAAUCCCUGUGAGUCAGGCAGCCAUUCCCCAGCACCCCCAUGGCUACCAGGCCUGUUGUAGGGCGAUUGGCCAUUUGUUGAGCAAAUACUUGCUGAUACCUACUUGUCAG
Molecule: long non-coding RNA, 852 nt
Filed under: Pan troglodytes (chimpanzee)
Lineage: Eukaryota; Metazoa; Chordata; Mammalia; Primates; Hominidae
Description: long non-coding RNA NONPTRT012276
Source: RNAcentral